UUUGUUUUUCAAAUAAUAUGAAAAUUCAAAAAGUAUAUAUAUUUUCCUUUUAAUUUUAAUAAAUAGGCUAAUAGUUUUAGUAUUAUCUUAAUUAUAUUUAUUUUAAGCUAUUUAUUAAUUUUUAUUGUAUUUUCUUAAAUAUAAAAAUUAAUUAUCUAAUAUUAUUUUAUUUUAAUUAAUAUUAUUUAUUUUAUUUUAUAUAUAUUUUAAUUUAUUAUUAAAAAAUAAAUAAAAAUAAAAUAUAUAAUUUUUUUAGAAAAAUUCUUAUUCUAAAACUACUCAACUUCUCCCCAUUAUCUGAACUCCCCUCAAUUGCUCCCCCAUAUCCUCUUUUUAAGGAUAAUCCCCCAACUCCCCAAAGACAGAUUACGUACUUGGUACACUAUUGACAGACAGAAAAAACCAAACAUAGAGAAAAUCAGAGAAUACAGAGAGGACAGAAAAAAAAAGACAUCAGAUAAAAAGAGAGGCACAGACGAAAUCAAAGAAAAGAAAAGUUUUGAAUCGAGUUUGGGGUUCCGUUUGAAAUUAUUGGUGACGAUUCUCGCUUCAUUAAUCAGUUAAAUUCUUCACACAGGUUCUCAUUAAAUUCGUGCUAUUUAUCUUUAUAAAUUCUAUUACGAAUGAUAGCAUGAAUCAAAGUGUUUAAAUAAUGUCAACAUACGCAUCUCACUUUCUCUAUUUCUUCCAUUUCUCAUCUAUUGUUUUCCUUUUCUUUUUCUUUUUCUUUUUACAUAUCCCACAAUUUUCUUUUGAAUGAUAUAAUUAAAUAGGGGCUUUUCAAGAAUUAUUAUUACCAUAUAUUCUCAUCAUUUUGUGUUAGGCAAAAGCCCCUCGCUGGUAUAUAUAAUUUUAUAUAGAGAGAUUUGUGAUUGUUGAUUUGUUUCUCUUUGUUUCUGUAAACUCAAUUGUUUUCCGUAAUUAAAAGAGAAAAAAAAGGAAAAAUAGACACCACACAGAUUCACCUACACACACAAAUAGCCACACACUCACAGAAAAACACUCACAAACUUCUCCCUUUUCCAUUUUUCUUAUACUAACAAUGCAUACAUACCUUUAAAAAUUCACAUACACACACCCACAUAGUAGAAAAAUAGUGAGGAAAAAAAAUAAAAAAUAGACUAGAGAAGAAGAAAGAAAUCAGUGAAGAUCUGCGAGAAAGAAAAAAGAAAAACAGAUCGAAAAGCUUUUUUUUCGUUGAACUUUCACCGAAAACGAAAUUUUCUCGCCGAAAAACAUCACCCAUUUCAAAAUUCUAUCUAAAUCAACGAUAACCCGGCGAUCAAAUACUUCAUUGUCACUGUUGUUAUUGUUCCGAUGGCAUGAUUUCACCGUAAAACAUAAAAUUUGACAACAGCACAUGCACCGCCAUCUUUUUUCUCUCCAAUCGGCGAAAUUUCGGUGCCACCCCUUUUUUUCUUUUCCUUUCAGUGACCACUGAACCACCAACCCACGUCGCCAUAUCUUCUUUUCUCCAUGAAUAAAAACCCGCAACACCACCCACAGUCAUUGCUCGCUGAAAACAGGCUCGAUCAGACCAAAAUUUAUAGCAUCCAGCGUCGUUCUGGCAAAAGUCAUGGAAGCGAUGUUCCCGAUCAUUGUUGCUCUAGUGUGAGAUUUUUGACAUCAUGGAUGUGUAAUGGCAUUUUUUUUGUCUCCGUUGAUUGUGAUUAUUAUUAUUCAUUUAUUAAUUUUGGGUUUAGAUCUAAUUUCGAAAUCUUUUAUAUUUGAGUUAUCUAUAAACUGUGAUUUGGGUUUUGUAUUAAUAUGAAAAAUUAGACCUGGGGACUAUAAUAUUAAAUUUAUAUAGCAUAAUAUGAA
Molecule: long non-coding RNA, 1821 nt
Filed under: Capsicum annuum
Lineage: Eukaryota; Viridiplantae; Streptophyta; Magnoliopsida; Solanales; Solanaceae
Description: long non-coding RNA (CANN_LNC005326)
Source: RNAcentral